UACGGAGGGUGCAAGCAUUAAUCGGAUUUAUUGGGCGUAAAGGGCGCGUAGGCGGAUUAGAAAGUCAGGUGUGAAAUUUCGGAGCUCAAUUCCGAAGCUGCACUUGAAACUCCUAAUCUAGAGGGUAGGCGGAGAAAAUGGAAUUCCACAUGUAGCGGUGAAAUGCGUAGAUAUGUGGAAGAACACCAGUGGCGAAAGCGGUUUUCUAGCUUAUUUCUGACGCUGAGGCGCGAGAGCGUGGGUAGCAAACAGG
This 253-nucleotide ribosomal RNA is filed under the name uncultured bacterium. Its description in RNAcentral is "partial 16S ribosomal RNA". It matches the Rfam family "Bacterial small subunit ribosomal RNA", at positions 524 to 776 of the family's 1533-position model. The record is from RNAcentral.